CGCCAGUAGACAACAUUGGCAGAGACAUGAAACGUUCACCGGUAUUCCUGAAACCUUAUACGCACGCUAAAUUACUGUGCUACAUGCAAACAUCUAUCGGUCUUUGACAGUUGGCGUCACACUCGCUAUAGCCGCAGUGUAUUGUGGGUCGAAUCGCCAUUGUGGGUGUAUACAACUCAAGUGCCAGCAUUUCCGUGCAGCAUUAUCUUUGAGGAUAUGGACAGCAGGCAGAGGAGGUAACGAAGAGGCCUCGGGUGGCCUGGGUCGCAGCGGUGAGACGGAAGGAGAUCUCUGUCAACAAGAUAUAUCCCUUAAUGCGUGUUUGCUCUCGGCAUUUUCAUAAAGGCAAGUAAGAUGUUUUUUGUUUAAGUAGUAUUACUGAAUGUGCAUUUUUUUUGUCUUCUAAAGUUGGUAUUUUCACAUUGGUUAACCUACGCUAGCAAGCUAGCCUCAUUACGGAGAGUAGCAGAAAUUGGUUAAUCUGUUCGUGUUAAACUAGCGUUACAGAGUCGAGUGAAUGCUUUUUAAAGACAAAAGUAAACAGCAAAACUGUAAUGACACGUUUAUCAGUGCAUGUAUGUGUAUAUUCGCGUGCAUGGAUUAUAAGCCACAAUGCUGGAUAAGGCUGUCACUGUGUGCUGUGCCCUGACAAACCAAUGGCCAACUAUUGUUUAAGUUUAGAAACAUUUGCAAGUAUGGUUUCUAACGUUUCACAUGAUGUCUGGAAGGACCUGUAUAAACUCAUUGUAUACUGAGCCUGUAUUCUGCUUGCCACUUAACUUUAUUGGUCAUAUUUAAAAUAAAAUAUAUGUCCAUG
Paramormyrops kingsleyae is the source of this 817-nucleotide non-coding RNA. The record is from RefSeq and is a predicted model, not a curated record. NCBI's taxonomy places the organism in Eukaryota, Metazoa, Chordata, Actinopteri, Osteoglossiformes, Mormyridae.